Molecule: ribosomal RNA, 254 nt
Filed under: uncultured bacterium
Lineage: Bacteria
Description: partial 16S ribosomal RNA
Rfam family: Bacterial small subunit ribosomal RNA
Source: RNAcentral
UACGAAGGGGGCAAGCGUUGUUCGGAUUUAUUGGGCGUAAAGAGCUCGUAGGUGGUUCGGUAAGUCGGAUGUGAAAUCUCCAGGCUCAACCUGGAGGGGUCAUUCGAUACUGCCGUGACUAGAGGUCGGUAGGGGAGUGUGGAAUUCCUGGUGGAGCGGUGAAAUGCGCAGAUAUCAGGAGGAACACCUGUGGCGAAAGCGGCUCACUGGACCAUAACUGACGCUGAUGCACGAAAGCUGGGGGAGCAAACAGG